AGAACGCCGCCGGAGCACACGAGGGUUUUUUAACCAGCAUACUUGUUAUGUGGUAGUCGUGCCGGGGGUUCUUUCUUUU
RNAcentral lists this non-coding RNA (79 nucleotides) under unclassified sequences. RNAcentral's name for it is "DUF3800-VII RNA". It matches the Rfam family "DUF3800-VII RNA". The record is from Rfam by way of RNAcentral.